Molecule: long non-coding RNA, 2314 nt
Organism: Homo sapiens (human)
Lineage: Eukaryota; Metazoa; Chordata; Mammalia; Primates; Hominidae
Exons: 2
Source: RefSeq, a predicted model, not a curated record
AUAAUAAUAAUAAUAGUAGUAAUAAUAAAAUAGCUCUGUGGACUCUGAUAAUGCUUUCGCUCUUAUGAGUAAAGCUACAUAUAUUUAACUUAUACACAUGCCAAUGUCCCAUCAUUUUAGAACAUGAUAAAGGGAACACAGGGAGAAUUAAAUUUUUUUUUUUUUUUUGAGAUGGAAUUUUGCUCUUCUUGCUCAGGGUGGAGUGCAAUGGCACGAUCUCAGCUCACCACAACCUCCGUCUCCCGGGUUCAAGCGAUUCUCCUGCCUCAGCCUCCUGAGUAGCUCGGAUUACAGGGCCCUGGACACAGGAUGAUCCCGGAUGGUGAGGCGGAGGUGAGGACAUUGCUGUAUGAGCGGAGAGUUGGCUGAGCUGCUAGAAUCCCUUCCUCUGAAACGAAGCAGUGAAGGGAUGGUGUGGGGAAGGUUGUCAACCAGCCAGCAUGCUCCUGGGCCUGUGGAAGGGGAGAGUGUCCACGGUUCACUUGGGGUCCCAGGGACCUUGCCAGCCCUGUACUGGGCUUUGGCAUGAAGGGGUGGAGAAGCUCUUCCAAGCUCUGACUGGUGUCUUGGUUACUAAAUCCUGAGGGUGGCAUGAUGAGAACACCAGUGGGGAGCCUUUGGCUGUGGGGUUCUGUGAGUGAGGCAGCAUGAAGCAGAAGUUGCCUCUAGAUGUCGCCAUCUGACCACACUGGCAUCAGCUGAGUGCCGUUGGAGGAAAAUGUUCAUGAGAUGCGGCCUGAGGCCUGUCCCCAGCCCAAGCUGGGUCUCCUGGCGACUGCAGCUUGGAGCACCUUUGGAAAGCCUCCUGGGACUUGGGAUGUCUUUGGGGCUGGGAACAAGUGUGGGUGGAGGAAGGGCCGGUCCUGUGGUCACCCAGCCCUGUCUUGUAGGGAAGGAACUGCUGGGGUCCCAGGAGAAGCCAGAGCCAGGCAGUGAGCUCCAGAUGGUGGGGGAGUGGCUGCCACCUUGACCAUCUUCCCCCGCAUGGCUGUUCUCCUCUGUGGACCACCCCAUGCCUCUGACCCCCAUCCUCCCUACCCCAUUCCCUACAGCCAGUCCCCACAACCACUCUUCCAGCAGCCCGGGGGGCCAUUCCCAUCUGUCCUCCCCUGUCCCAGUUCCAAUAAUGGACUACACCACCUUUAUCUUCCACUGCCCCAAAUGACGGCUGUCCGUCUAGUCAGUUCCACCCACUACACCACAGUCAUCGUGACCAUGUCACUCCUUUGCUCCGAACCAUGGCUCCCCCUCACCCUAAGGAGGAAAGCUCAGACUCCCUCUCCCCAGGGUGGCCUCUCCAGCCUCCUCCAUCUGUUCCCAGCAGGGUGGGCAUGGCUGUCACAUGUUCCUAGAACAUGCCAGGCCUUUGGCCUUGCUGUUCCCUCCGCUGGAACACCUACCACUGCACCAUCCACCUCCACCUGUCUUGUUCCUGCGACUCAGCAUGACUCUGCUGAAGCAUCCCCUGCCCUGGGAAGACUUCCUGGCUUUCCAGGCAGUACCAGCUCCUGUCUCCAGUUCCCAUGGCACUGGGACCUCCAUCACAUCUCCUCAGAUAGCUUGCCAAUGUCUGUCAGUCUGUCUGCCCUCUUGGCGGCACCAGGGACCUCCUCUGACUCUCCUCUGAGUCCCCAGGGAUCAGCCCAGUGCCUGGUAUGAAGUAGGCACUUGCACAUGCAUUUAAAAUGUUAGGGAGGAAAGAGUGGGAAAAGAGAAAGAGAUCCUUGUCUUUCCUCACAAGCUGAAGUCACCUCUUGCAAGCAUUGGGCCUGUGCCCUGGUUAUCCCUGGGAUGGAGCCGAGAACCCUCCAACUUUUGCUUCUUGCUAUGGGCUUUUUGUUUUGAGACAGAGUCUCACUCUGUUGCCCAGACUGGAGUGCAGUGGCAGGAUCAUGGCUCACUGUAGCCUCAACAAUGUCCGGCCUCUAAGCCCAAGCUAAGCCAUCAUAUCCCUUGUGACCUGCACGUAUACAUCCAGAUCACCUGAAGCAACUGAAGAUCCACAGAAGAAGUGAAAAUAGCCUUAACUGAUGACAUUCCACCAUUGUGAUUUGUUUCUGCCCCACCCUAACUGAUCAAUGUACUUUGUAAUCUGCCCCACCCUUAAGAAUGUUCUUUGUAAUUCUCCCCACCCUUGAGAAGGUACUUUGUGAGAUCCACUCCCUGCCUGCCAAACGUUGCUCCUAACUCCACCGCCUAUCCCAAAACCUGUAAGAACUAAUGAUUAAUCCACCACCCUUUCUUUGCUGACUCUCUUUUCGGACUCAGCCCACUUGCACCCAGGUGAAAUAAACAGCCUUGUUGCUCACACAAA